GAAAAAAGCUUGUAGAGUUGAGCAAUCAAUUUUGCAGGUGAUGCAUUUUUAGAUUAAGCCAAUCAAUGUUUGGAGCAGUUAUCGCUGUUUCAACGUUGCUGUGGUGAGUCUGGAUAACUGUGCCGAUCGUAUGGCCUAGAGCCGGCGACAUUUCGAUUAAAUUUCUGCCCUAUCAACUUGUUGGUAAGGUAGUGGCUUACCAAGGCGAUUACGGGUAACGGGGAAUCAGGGUUCGAUCCCGGAGAGGGAGCCUGAGAAAUGGCUACCACAUCCAAGGACGGCAGCAGGCGCGCAAAUUACCCAAUCCAGACACUGGGAGGUGGUGACGAGAAAUACCAGGUCGGUCCCAAAAGGAUUCGACACUGGAAUGAGUUCAAUUUAAGAAUUUGAAUGAGUAGCAACUGGAGGGCAAGUCUGGUGCCAGCAGCCGCGGUAAUUCCAGCUCCAGUAGUGUAUCCAAACGUUGCUGCGGUUAAAACGCUCGUAGUUGGACAAUAGAGUAAUUUAGUGCGGGCGGGAAAUGUAAUUGCUCCAUGUAACUGACUAUUAUGAAUAGUAUAAAGUGGAAAGAAUGAGAUGGGAGGUAAAGAUAAGAUGGCUAUGAUGCAAGUUGUGGUUGUUUUGUUUUUAUUACUCGUUUUGUUUUUUCAUUUCUUUUGCUUGUUUAUGAUAGUAAAUAGUGCAUGGUAGUAGCAUUUGUCGACCAUGCAGCUAAGUUACUUGUAAUGUUUCGUGAGAAUAGUACAUGAUCUUAAUUGUAUUGUGUACCAUGUCUUACGUAGUGUGCCUUGAAUAAAUCAGAGUGCUCAAAGCAAGCUAAUUGCUUGAAUGUUAAUAGCAUGGAACGAAUGUUUAGUGGAAGUGUAUUAAUGUGUAAUUAUGAGUAUUAUGUACUUGUAAGAGCGUGUUAAUACACAGCACCAACCACGAAGCGGAACAUUGGUUACCGACUUCGGGUGAGGAUUAAGAGGGGCAUUUGGGGGCAUUAGUAUU
This 993-nucleotide ribosomal RNA is filed under the name Zschokkella guelaguetza. RNAcentral describes it as "SSU rRNA". It matches the Rfam family "Eukaryotic small subunit ribosomal RNA", at positions 173 to 898 of the family's 1831-position model. The record is from RNAcentral. Lineage: Eukaryota; Metazoa; Cnidaria; Myxozoa; Bivalvulida; Myxidiidae.